CACAUAGAUUACAUAGGAACCCAAAAACAUUUGUUCAUUUCGACGAGGAAUUUGUUUAAGAAUUCAGUUUCAGCAACUAGUCAGACCAUUACACAAACAGAAACCGGAAGUAAAGUUCGGCCCAGACGCUUAUCGCGUCACCGCACGUGCGCCCGAUGAAAUGGUUUAUACUAAAUGAGAGGCAGUGGAGGAGUCAGCACUCACCCGUUGCCGCAGUAGUCAGAGGUCCAGUCCAAGCCCUGGGUCGGUCCAUUCCUGCAGCCAGUGCGGUAGUCCAUUGAAGGGGACAGACCGGGUCCGCCGGAGGAUGUGACAUUUACCAUGCUCUGAUACUCUGCCUGAAGAGGGAAACCCUGAGAGAGAGAGAGCACAAUAAAAGAUGUGAAUCAGAGCUUUUAUUUUUUUUAGGAGACUGGAACCAAUUUCAUUCCUCAUCAGUUUCUUAUGGAAGGUCAGAGUAUGGGAAAAUCAAACUGCGAAUGUGUAUUCUUUCCACACCCUGUGGUUUAAAUGCACUCACUACUCAGCACCAUGCUCAUUUUCGUCCCCUUUUAUGUUGGAGCUGCUGGAAUAUAUGGGGCCCCUAAAAUAUCUAUUAUAAAAACCUCUUGAACUGACAGAAAUGGAUAUAAUGCAUUUUUCAAAGUGCUAAUGCGGUUCUUAAACAUGAAAUAUUCCAGGGCUGCGUUUUAUCUCUGCAUUUGAUUUUUUCCAACAUCUAAAAAGCUUACGUGUUGUUAUCACUCAUAGUAAAGCUGUUUUAAUUUUAUUUGGGAUAAAUUGCCAUGCAAAAACGUGUAAAUACUCUACAAAACAAUAUGCUGAAGUAUAAUAAAACAUGGACUUACAAACACUGUAUUUUAAUCAUUAUUCAUGCAUUAUAUUGCAGUUUGUUACUCAAGUCAGUGUUUUUCAAACUUUUCCAGUGUGCAGCUCCCCUUGUGUUCAGUGCAUCCCCCCAAAGAAAAUUUAUGACAUAAAAC
This is a long non-coding RNA of Misgurnus anguillicaudatus (oriental weatherfish), 983 nucleotides long. RefSeq lists it as uncharacterized. NCBI's taxonomy places the organism in Eukaryota, Metazoa, Chordata, Actinopteri, Cypriniformes, Cobitidae. The record is from RefSeq and is a predicted model, not a curated record.